Molecule: ribosomal RNA, 426 nt
Filed under: uncultured bacterium
Lineage: Bacteria
Description: partial 16S ribosomal RNA
Rfam family: Bacterial small subunit ribosomal RNA
Source: RNAcentral
UGGGGAUAUUGGACAAUGGGCGAAAGCCUGAUCCAGCCAUGCCGCGUGUGUGAAGAAGGUCUUCGGAUUGUAAAGCACUUUAAGUUGGGAGGAAGGGCAUUAACCUAAUACGUUAGUGUUUUGACGUUACCGACAGAAUAAGCACCGGCUAACUCUGUGCCAGCAGCCGCGGUAAUACAGAGGGUGCAAGCGUUAAUCGGAAUUACUGGGCGUAAAGCGCGCGUAGGUGGUUUGUUAAGUUGGAUGUGAAAUCCCCGGGCUCAACCUGGGAACUGCAUUCAAAACUGACUGACUAGAGUAUGGUAGAGGGUGGUGGAAUUUCCUGUGUAGCGGUGAAAUGCGUAGAUAUAGGAAGGAACACCAGUGGCGAAGGCGACCACCUGGACUAAUACUGACACUGAGGUGCGAAAGCGUGGGGAGCAAACA